UACGAAGGGGGCUAGCGUUGCUCGGAAUCACUGGGCGUAAAGGGUGCGUAGGCGGGUCUUUAAGUCAGGGGUGAAUCCUGGAGCUCAACUCCAGAACUGCCUUUGAUACUGAAGAUCUUGAGUUCGGGAGAGGUGAGUGGAACUGCGAGUGUAGAGGUGAAUUCGUGAGAUAUUCGCAAGAACACCAGUGGCGGAAGGCGGCUCACUGGCCCGAUACUGACGGCUGAGGCACGAAAGCGUGGGGAGCAAACAGGG
Molecule: ribosomal RNA, 255 nt
Filed under: uncultured bacterium
Lineage: Bacteria
Description: partial 16S ribosomal RNA
Rfam family: Bacterial small subunit ribosomal RNA
Source: RNAcentral